Molecule: RNA transcript, 2231 nt
Organism: Populus trichocarpa (black cottonwood)
Lineage: Eukaryota; Viridiplantae; Streptophyta; Magnoliopsida; Malpighiales; Salicaceae
Exons: 4
Source: RefSeq, a predicted model, not a curated record
AAUAAAGAAGAUGUCUCAAAUAAAGAAGAGACCGAAGACGUCUUCGGUCCGGCUCAUAUUCAAAGGACGUCUCAAAAUAAAGAAGACGUCUUCGGCCCCCUCAUAUUCCAAGGACGCCACAAUUUCCUUGGACGCCACUUUCUCUGGAUUCUUCACACCCCGAUGCACAAAGGGUUUCUUCUCUUCUGUUUUAAAUCUGCUGUUUAUUGGAUGUGCUGUUCGAAAUUUUCUCUAUGUUCCAGGUUGAAAGUGUGGUGGUUAUCCUUUUGAAUGAUUUAAUUUGUUGGGAGUUUGGUUUUCUGGCUUGUUUAGAUCUGUAACAGAUCUAGGUUUUCUGGCUUGUUUGGAUCUGUUGGUUUUCUGGUUUGUUUGGAUCUGUAACAGAUCUGCCAUAAAUAUAUGGUUCUCUCUAUUUUCAAGCCACUGACUCUUUAUCUUUUUCUGUUGUUUUAUUCAUGGCAGGACUCUCACCUGGAAGUUAAGGGUGAUAUUUUCGUCUCUCCCAUCUCUCUUAUCAAAAGAGGGCCUGAAAGCUCUAGCUAGAAGGAAAAAAGAAAGAAGAGAUGCCAUGAAAGAAUUUGAUUAUUUGAUGUGUGGUUGAGAAAUUCAGCUGAUAUGAAACUGACAACAGUCCUUCUCUUCUCCCUCACCUAGUCUGGUUUUUUGUUUUUGUUUUUGUUUUUGUUUUUUUAAUCUCAGAAAACAACUCUCACCUGGUAAAGGGUGAUAUUUUCGUGUCUCUCAUCUCACACCACAAAAGAGGACUUGAACGUCCUAGAAUGAAGAGAAAAAAAAGAAUUGUUCUAGAUUUGUAAUUUUCAUGGGAGUGAUUGGCAAAAACAAUAAUAGAUGUUUGGUUCUCUCAAUGUUCCAGCCAUUGACUGUUUAUCUUUGUCUGUUUUUAUAUCGAUCAUCAUGGCCUCGGAACUCCAGGACGUCUUUUUCCUAUUUUUUCAUCUACCGCUCAGACGUGCACCCCAAAGGAGGUCUUGUUCUAGAUUUGUAAUUUUCAUGGGAGUUAUUGGCAAGAUACAUAUGGCUAUGUUUAUACUCUUAAUGAUUUGAUUUUUGAGUUGACUUUCUCGAGUUUUUCUGUUUGUGCUGAAAAAAAUAAAAAAAAUACAGCCUUUUGGAUGUCAUUUCAGAUAAAUUUUUGAUCUUUGGAUUGUGAUCUCCAAUCUCUUUGUUGAUAUUCAGCGCAUAAAAUUCAUUAAUUUGACAGAUAAAGUUUUGACUAAUUGAUUCUUUUUUGUUGCCUUGAAUUUCUACAUAUGCUGGAUAAAACAUUUGAUGAUGGCUAAAGAUACCAGGUGGGUGGAAACUCUGUACCAUAGCAUGUCCUUGUGCCAGGAACUUCUGAAUAGUACUGGAACCUCAUGUUGAAGAAACUGCUAAGUAGCUUCCUGAAGCUAAAUUUUCUGUAGGACCAGUGGUUCAGAAACACUACGCUUUUGCUUGGGUAGUUACUGGACAAAAUGCUUUCAAUCACUAUUCUCUAUCCAUUGCCUGAUCUAAAAGAUGCAAGACAAUUGAUGAUGGCUAAAGAUACUAUGAGGGUGGAAACUGUGUGCUAUAGUGUGUCCUUGUGCCAGGAAAUCACCUUUCCCUAUCCAUUGCCAGAUCUAAAGAUGCAAGAAUUUAUUUGAAAAAAAAAAGUAGCAGGUUAAAAUGAGAUUCUCAUCACAAAUUAUGAUCUCUCCUUUAUCAGGGGAAUGGACAGACAUGGUUGGUUUUUCUCUGCUAUUGGAGCACUAGCUGCCAUUAUCCAAUUGAAAUCUGAAACUCUCUCUCCAUCUAGUACACACGAUGCUAUCAUAACCAUGUCCGUUGUUGCUGUGCUCGUCCAUAUUGUAGGUAAACUUGCAGCUGGUCACUUCCAAUCAAUUGCUGCCAGCGCCAGUCUUCUGGCCAGAGCUCUCGCCAUUGCUCUGCUACUCAUAAUCCCUGUCCCAAGAAUUUGGUGGUUACUUCUUUCCGCGUGGGUGGUGUUAUUUAUAUGGGUAGCAUAUACUUUACGCGAGGAAUUGUUACAAUUACGUGAAUCCCUUCGCAAUGCAGUUCGCCAGGCCAAGGAGCCAAAUGCUGAGUCCAGUGAGUUGCCAGUGUAACCUUACAUAUCAAAGACUGAUUUGGGACCCUAUCAAAAUAUUAUGUUGCAAAUACUAUUAUCCAUGCAUCAUUGAAAAUGAUGUUCUCGUUAAAUUCCAAAAAGCCUGUUUAAGGAUGAAGAA